Molecule: unclassified non-coding RNA, 284 nt
Filed under: plant metagenome
Description: partial contains small subunit ribosomal RNA, internal transcribed spacer 1, and 5.8S ribosomal RNA
Source: RNAcentral
UUUCCGUAGGUGAACCUGCGGAAGGAUCAUUAAAUAAUUUAGAUGGCCUCCUAGAACUUGUUCUAGUUAGGUUCAUUCUUUUUUACUGUGAACUGUUUUAACUUUCAGCGUUUGAGGAAUGUCUUUUAGUCAUAGGGAUAGACUAUUAGAAUGUUAACCGAGCUGAAGUCAGGUUUAGACCUGGUAUCCUAUUAAUUAUUUACCAAAAGAAUUCAGUAUUAUUAUUGUAACAUAAGCGUAAAAAACUUAUAAAACAACUUUUAACAACGGAUCUCUUGGUUCUC